CAUUCCUCAGGCUGCCUCGGUCACCCGAGGGAGAGUGAGCGCAGACGGAGAGAGCCCCGUUUCGGCGCUGGGAAGGUCUACUUCCCUUCAGGAGAAAAGUCACCUAAUGAAUGGAUACACACUGAGCAAUUAAGAGGCCUGGCUAUACUAACUCACAGCAGAGUACGUGGAGACCCCAAGCCCCUGGGACCCUUGCGGGGGUGUUGCGCUGAGAUUUCAGGGGUCGGUGAGAUAUGUGGGGAGCUCACAGGAGUCAAGCUGCUGGAAACGCGGAGGAGGAGCUCCAAGGAAGGCACCCAAACAGACAAGGCUUGAAUCUGGUAAUCAGAAUGACUGAUCUCAAAACAAC
Long non-coding RNA from Chinchilla lanigera (long-tailed chinchilla), 349 nucleotides. RefSeq lists it as uncharacterized. The record is from RefSeq and is a predicted model, not a curated record. NCBI's taxonomy places the organism in Eukaryota, Metazoa, Chordata, Mammalia, Rodentia, Chinchillidae. The transcript has 3 exons.